This 11906-nucleotide long non-coding RNA is filed under the name Gallus gallus (chicken). Lineage: Eukaryota; Metazoa; Chordata; Aves; Galliformes; Phasianidae. The record is from RNAcentral.
CGUUAAUCAAAUCAAGCAAAUCGUGCUGGGUGGCUAGACCACUGUAAUUAAACUUUCUUUAAAAUCCACUCAUUUGGCUUUUGAUGAGGAUUUUGAUUAAGCUCUUCCAAAAUGUCUGGCCUGGUAUCUGCUUAAGAGGAAAAUAAGAACUUGCUCUAGUGAGCAAGUCAUUAAUUCAUCACUGUGCUACACCAACUCCUCACUGUCUUACCUAGCCAGUGUAUAAAGAAAUGUUUGAAAAUUGGCAGUGUAAAAUUAAAUGUUUUUUAUCAGUACACUCAGAUGAUAAAUCUAUUUGCAGUUUUAAAAUCAGUAACUUUGUUCCUGGAAUAUAAAGAGGGGCUGGAUAAGCAAGUCACAGCCAAUUGGAGGGCGCAUUGUGCUGCUGUUUACUGAUGCUACGAUAGCAAGAAACACAUCUGCAGAAAAUGACUGAAUACACAAUAAGAGUUUUGCAUGUGAAGACUGAACCAGUAAACAUCUGUCCUCUCACUGCUGUCACUCACAUUCUCAAAUAUUGGUUCUGCUCAAAAUAGCUGCAAUCCUCAAAUGGUACAGUCAGUUUGGCCUGAUCCUGAUGUAAGGAAUACAUUAUAAAGCAGGACGAGCCAAGGCUCCCACGUUUCUAAGCUUUCUUCCCCAUCAGAAAUAGGCUGAUUUCAUCCAGACCGCUUAUCGAGAACAGUCGUGGUACAUGGCAUGGCCCACACUCUGCCCCUGCACUGUCCUGGGAGGGAGCCAAACCCACAGAGAUUAGUGGUUGUGGACGGACCAGGGUUUGAUCCUAAACCCUGGCCUUGUUUUACGUGCCAGUAUGGACAUGAGUAGAGAGAAUUCCUUCUCUGCUGCUCCUCCUUUCUGCCGGUGCUUUCCUCUGCCUUCCCUGGUUGGCAGCCUAGAGCCCACACUUAGUAGCCCACCCUGACUUUACAUAGUGCUGCAGACUACUUCACAGACCCUUCAAAAUGUUGGUUUUGUAAACUCUGAGAUGCUCUUCAGCUUUACUUUACAUUAAAGCUGUGUGGCUAAGCUAUCAGUUGGUAAAACUAAAAGCGCCUGAAGGAAGUGAUUCUACAUGGUAGUGCACCUUCAGUUUUCAUUUACUGUUAGUGUCUUUAUUGUGACUUCUUCUCGUAUUAACGUGUCCCUGAGUGAGGAGUUUGUUAUCACUUCUCAUCUAUGAGAGAAAUUGAAUUCCUUAUCCGUAAAAUGGAAGAUCAGUCUCAGAAGUAGAGUGCUGAACACUUGCAAGGACUGUGUGGAUAGAAAAUGACAUGACAAAAAUAGUGGUCACCCUGGGACGAAUAAAGGCAGCUAGGGACAGAGUUGAUGGAAGUAGAUUUUUCAAAUACAAAGUCAAUAUGACUGACCCUGAAGUUUUGGAAGAGAAAUUCCAUCUUCCUAGUAGAUAUGAAAGCAUUUAAUAUUUUUCACUUUGUAGCCACUUCACCUAAGAGAGCCCCUUAAGUUGUACGAAUAUGAAAUGGAAUAACAGCCAAGUGACUAAAUGAAAGCAGAGUGGGACAUUAAAAUGAACAAAGUGCACGGGAGCAGAGGAGUCUGGUUUGAAUUCUUACAGUAAGUAUAUCAAAAUGUAGAAAGCAUCAGGAAGAAGCAACGUUGAAAUAACGAUGUAGAAUUUUUCAUGGAACUGACACAGAAUAAGUUCUGUGAAGCUGAUUAGCUUGGGUAGUCUGUAAGACAUCUGAGUUGAUCCUGGCCACCACCACCACCAUUUCACUGAUCUUUCUCAGAAUCACAUUUGACUUUUCUGUUGCAUGUGUGUUCCAGUUCAUUCUUCAGGAGGAAUUCUUUAAUCUGGACUAUUUUAGCCCAAUUCUCUGAGGACCUGUGUGCAGAAUACAUACUGUUAGUCCAUUUCCUUUCAACAAAGGAGAGGGGGCUGCAUUCAUCACAAAUGCACUGCUGCUUCCCAUGCUCCAGAAGGCAGAUCUUGGCUCUGUGACCGGCAAGUGAUUCACCAGAAACUUGGCCAGAGAGUGGAAACCUCUUUUUCUGGUCAUGUGAAUUCAGGCCACAGAGUUCUGCUCGAGGGCAAGAGAGCUCGUGCUUAACAUCUCUCCAGCACCUUCUCCUUCAUCAUUAGAGUUCAAUUUGAAAGGACAAAAGCCUGGCAACUCACUGAUAAAUAUUUUAAGGCUGGCAGAUAACCCAGCCAAAAGCACGAGUCCCAGCUGUCAAAACAGAAAACUUCUGCUUUACAAUAAAACAGAUUUCUGUUAUUUCUGACUGGCUAGGAUUCUUUUGCUUAGAUCAAGGGCAGUAAGCCAUUGAUCAAAAUUUCUUUUUCUUCUUCGCUUUUUUUGAUGUUAGGAAAUGCUUUCAAACUCCCCACAGAUAUUUCAAGUGUUGGCUUUGCUGCCAAGCAGGCUCUGAGAGCUCUUCCUCUUCUCUCCCCUCUCUCCCUCCUGCUUAUCUGCCUUGUAGCACUGUCGCAGGAUUUCUGAAGUGGCUGCAGUGGAUUUCUCUUACACUGUUUGGAGUGGCUCUGUGCUGUACUCCGCAGCCAUAAGGGGAAGCAGAUCCAGGGGAGGCGAGGAUGGAGAGUGCUUUAGCGUCAAGAGUUUCAGUUUAUCUCCUAAAUGGAAGCGAAGCUGCUUGCAUGCCAAGAUGCAGUGCUGUGCUGGCACUUGGAGAAGCCUAAUUUUACAACACAUAGGACCUAUAGGUUUUUGCCUAUAUCUAAAUCCUUAGUGCUGUUGGAAAAAAGUAGGGCUGACAAAAGGAAGAGCAUGCAAGGGAGCACUGGAGACAGAAGGCUGCAGGCAUGCGUGUGUGUCUGUGUGCGAGCAUCUUGGUGCUGGCAUUUCCCUGGCAUUGCCAUGCCAGCAGAGGGAAUGGCACAGUCCUGGCUCGCUGGAUCUGGCCAUGCUGGAGGAGCAGGCGGCAGGCAUCCUCUUGGGUUGGACAGGUGAAAGUUAAGCCCUUUAAGUUAUGGCACUGAUGAAAGACAUGGAUAUAUUCUGGCUAAGGCGUUGUCAGGGCCAUCCAAUGAGAAGGCAGAGGCAGCCCUGCUCCCCCACCCUCCAUUUGUCCCAUUACUUUCCUACUCUCUGCCUCAGGCUACAACACCCUGCAGGUGGGCUCCUGAGGAUCCCUCCUCCCCUCCUAAUAUCAAUUCCCACACACAGGUUAAGAAACAGAGUGCAAAUACUGUGCCUGACACCACCCCCAUCGCUUCCAACAAGGAUAAAACAGUUCCAGCAGAAAGCCACGCUAAAAAGUUGGAUGCCUUGAACACAGUGCAAGUCUGCAAGCAACUUGCAGUGCGUCAGAGUUGGUGGCAUCUCGGAGACUCAGGUCCCAUUUUCUUUCCCCAGUGGUUUUUCAAGUAUGAAUUUACUGGCCAGCAAGUCUUAAACUGCCAAGAGGUAACAGAGAUUCUUCACUGAAAUACGAAUACCUCAAGCACUAAAUACAGUUGUUUUAUGGGUACAAAGUUCAAACUUUGCUGUGAAAACUGACCAUAAUCAGCUUUUCAGUGUCCAUGUUUGUCUUUUUGGUCACAGAGGCACUGGUAUUUUUCUUUGCUUUGCUCUAUAGCUGCUCUAAUAGAUGGGUUAAAAUAGGAUCAACGCAGAAAUACUUCCACCAACUCCGAUAGAAUAACUACAUAAAUAAAUGACAUUGCAGCUUCUGUCCAACAUCAGCACUGUAUAAACAGCAGUUGGUAGCAGACAGCAGAUACCUGCAGCAUAUCUCUGUUUUUAUCGUGUAACUUGAGGGCAUCACCGAGUUGUAGCAGAGGGGUAUUCUUCUUAUUUUCCACAUUUUUGUUUAUUUUGCAUUGUGCAGUAGCAGCAGGAAGAUUCACCAGUCCUCAGCUUUUAGUUUGCCAAGUGGUAAAGCCAUUUUAAAUUCAGUCUGUUGGGUUGUUUUGGUUUUUUUUCUAUUGAUGCUCGUUGUGUGGUUUUUUUUUCUGGUCUGAAUGUCUCAUGCAUCAAGUAAUUCCCUUCAGACCAAGUCAGGACGUAGAGGCAGUGCUUGUCCCUGAUGGUCUACAGAAAAAUACUGUUAUUUUUCUCUAGAGAAAAGCUUGUCCUCAGGAAUUCAGAAAACACACCAUGCAGAAGUUGUUUUUCAGACACUUGAUCUGCAGGCUGCCUGUAACCGGUGAAUAUUGGGUGUAAAGUGGUCAAUCAUUUAGAAAAAAAGAUUAAUUAUAAAGACAGGACUCAUCGUUUUACAUUUUGCAUAUCUUUUCUUUGGUUCGUGCUCACCGAUACAUGUCUUUCACUUAAGACUACAGAAGCUGAAAUAUUAAUUCACCUCAAACUGUACUCAGCAGGCCAGCAGCAGACCAGCGUUGGCUUCAUCACCAGAUGCCCCAGGGAGAGAAGUAAUUUAAUAUGGGUCCACGGCCAACUUAUUUUACAGUAAAGUAAAUUUUCUGUGCUGUGUUUUUUAAUCCCUGUUCACAAUCAGUUCAGAACUGGCAUACUUAAAAAUGGAACUCGCUGGCUUUUUUGAUGACUUCAGAGAUCUCUAUUCCCUCCUAUACCACAUUAUGUUAUUCUUCAUAGUAUUAAUUUUGAGACAGGAGAGGUUGAAGUCAGGCAGGCAGAGCCUAUCGACAGAGCAGUGCGUGCUGUGGGAAGGGAAACUCAUAACCCAGGCUUUGAUCAGGACAUAAAAGACAAAACUGAUUUUCCAACUUCUUAAUUUUUUCUGGACAGGUUUUAUGUCUAAACCAGACACUUCUGCUUGGCAGGCUUAGGUGCAAUUUCUCUUCUUCCAGCCUGACUGAGCCCAGUUCCUACCCUUUGUCAACACAUACUGUUCUCUAGGUCUCUGAUAGUACUUUCUGCUGGAGACUCGGACAGUCUGCAGCUUGUUGGGGUCUGAAAGAGUAGUGCUACAGAGUGGAAUUCAGCUGACACUUUGUUAGCAGUCACUAGAAAAAAGUAAGAACUUUCAGUAGCUUACACAGGAAGUGCUUGUUAAUGUGUAUCCAGGUGCUAUUUGCCUUUUUCACAGCAGCAUCUUGACUCAGGUCCUGUUUGUGAUCCCAGGUCCCUUCCUGCAGGGCUGCUGGCUUACUGGUCAGUCCUCAUUUUGCAUCUGUGUGUUUGAUUUACCCUUCCAGGCAGUUGCACAUCAUGUUUGUCUUUCCAGAUUUCGCCAUGUUGUUUUAAAAGCAUUUCUCCACUUUAGGAAACUUGUUCUGAAUUCUUCUUAUUUGUCCUCUCAACUGCUUGCAGACUAACUCAGUGCCUACUGCAGGUUUUAGAAGUGCGGCUCUGUCUCAUUUACCACGUAAUUAACGACAAGAUUGAACAGCACUGGGCCUAAGACAAGCCCUGUUGGCACCUGUUUGAAAUGUUCUCCCAUUUGACAGCAAUUCAUUACCUGGAACAAGCUGCAAAGCAACCGGCAGCAGCUAGUUGUCUGUCUGCAGUUUGACUUCUUGUACAUAUGCUGCUGAGCUGGAAUAGAGAGAGCACUGAAAGGGAUCCUUCAAACACACAUGUUGCCGUCCUAGCAGGAGGAAGCUGAAAGGGCAAACCCAUAGAAGAUACUCAUCAUAUUGUCUGCUCAGCUGUAGGAAGACUGACAGAUACAUCAAUAGUAAUCAUAAGUACAGGAGCUUGACUAGAACUCAUGAUUGCUUUAACUAAUGGGCUACUAAUUCUCUUAUCUUUACGGGCAGAGACAUGGCAAUCAGCUGUGGUCAAACGGAGGACAGGAUGAUUCUAAAUCAAUGUUUACCCACAUUGUUUUGCUAAAAUGAAAAUAAGAAAGGCUGCCAGUCUUCAGGCAACAUCGUUUGAUCAACCACUAUGGUCAAGGGAAAUCUUCUAGCACUUAUAUUUGACUUGUGCAAAGGGCUUUUCAACUUCAUCUGUGAGACAGACUAUUAUGACAAAGCUGUCAUUUCUGCUCCAGCUCAGCCGUGAUUUUAUCUUUAUAUAGUUUCUAUCAUUUUCAGAUAUGAGGUCUAUGUCGCCAACACCUUCACAGGGGCUUUUUAAGCUUCUGUUUCAAAAUUGCCCAAUUUUUGCUGGUAGUUGGCAGGAUCCACCUUCAAUUUCAGGUCACUCUGUCCUCUAUCAGACAACUAGUUGGUAGAGCAAAGAGGAGUGUGCUGUGUACCUGUUACUGUUGCUGGUUAUUUGUGCACUGGUCACAUGUGAGAACACUGAGCAGACGUCACUGCCUCAUUGCCGAGCAGUUUAACUCAAUUGUAUUUAAUUACAUGGUCGUACUUGUAGGUCAUGUGUCAUGGAAGAAAAACUGGGUAAAACAGACAAAGGAAAGGAAGAUAGGAUGGAUGGUAGAAUGAAACAGAAUGAACUUAGCACAAAAGGAGAAAAAGACCACUGUGCUAUGGACUCCCCUUCCCUACUUGCGUCUUGGUUGUUCUGUUUGGUUUACAGCAGUCUGAGGUUUUUUCACUGAUGAUCCUUCUUGCUCUGAUCUUUAAUUUAAGAAAGGAGAAUAUUCUUCUUCCCAAGUCCUGACUUUGACGUAAGGAUAUUGCUUUUUUUUUUUCCAGCAAAUUGUCUUUGAUGGCUCCAUUUUUAUUUUUUAAGUAGCAAAAAGACAAAACUGGGAAGAAAGGUGAAGCCUGAUUGUUGCCGAAGAGAAGAUGCUGCUAUAACAAGUUCUGCCUGGUCUUAAGCAGCUUCUAGCAAGCUUUUUACUACCACAGAGCUUUAGUAGUAAUUGCCACCCAAGUGUUGUGAUUUGGAAAGCUACGGUGCCUUGGUUACUUCAUCAAGGCAUCUUUCGACAUUGACAGACACUUUUUAAUCCUUUAAAAUGAUUCUGGGUUUCUUUCUUCAUUUUUUAAACGGCAUUCACUUAAAGGAUGUUCAUGAGGGCAGGAGGAAGCAGGGGCAAGACCUGAUUUUUUUUCUAUAUGAAAUGCAUUAAGAAUAGUGCUUUCUGGAUGCUCCACUUUGAUGCUGUGGGAGCUGCCAAAACUGGAAGGCAAACUUUCAAGAGAGAGAAGUAUUCAUGUCCAUGACUUUGAUUGUGUCCAAAACCCCUUCUACAACGUCAGGUCACCUGGGAGCCAUCAGGGCCAUCUCCUUCCUACCCCUCGCCCAAGCAUUGCAAAGCCUAGCGCUCAUUUUCAGAAAUACGUUGCCCAAGCAAUAGGAGCUUCUGCCUUUGUAGCCUCUGGGCCAGAGUCCAUGUGGUUGUGAUAAGUUCUGUCAGUCUCAGCUGUCUCCUCAGUCUCUAGACAAAUGCAUCUUUUAUGAACCGGUGAAUUGUUUGUAGGAAUUAUUUCACUGUAAUGCACUACAGCGUCUGGUACACACAAAUCCUGCCAAUUUUUCAUUGUCCACAGGCAACCCUUUUCCCCUUCUGUAGGGAAUUGAUUUUGAGAGAAAAAUAUACCUGCUGCAAUGCCGGAAUUUUCCACAAGCAAUUUUCCCUCUGAGUGCCAACCACCCCAAAACUAUUUAGCUCGUUGGAAGUGCUGAAAUUACAGCCUGAGGUGGCAUAGCUGCUGCAACAAUAUCAACCAAGAGGGAAUAGACUCAUCAGUGACAAGGGACAAGAUGACCUCCACUAAUCCAAACCUUUUACCCACAUGUUUCUGCUUUCCAUAAAAAUACAAAUCUCACUUGUCUCUUAUUUAAUAAGAUUACAGAGCGAGACCGUGUGAUCUUCACUGCUUGUUUCUGAAAUGAAAUCCAUCCUUUGUGAAUGGGGAGAGCCAGAGCUAAGCAUGUCUAAGAUUGGAGUAUGUCAAAGCACAUCCUGAAUUCUGUCAUUGGUUCUCUUUCAUUCAAGUGUUUGCUGAGUGAGCUUCCUCUGGCUUUCUGCAAAAUGUGAGUGUUGCCCCUGGUGCUCCCCAAAACCAAUAAAUCUUUUUCAUUUCCUUGCAAGAGACAAGGAGCAGCAAACUAACCUGUCAGUCUAAAUCAUCACAUUUAAAAAUACUAAUUCUAUGCAGUCUACCAUUUACUGUGUUUGUAUGUCUUUUUCUCAUUUCAGAAUCCUGUGUUGUCAGUGAAGCUGUGAUAGAUUUUCCUCUAGCAUGAAUAAAUGAGCCUGACCUUUCAGAAAGGUGCUUGUACUCUGUCCAUCUGUUCCAUUCUCUAGAAACUACAUUUAAUCUUCCAGAGCAUCCUAAAUCAUUCAUUCAUAUACUGGUUUAGACAUUAAAAUAAAAUUUAAAAGAUUUGUAAUUUGCUGGGCUUCAGUUUAGGGUAGAUCUUCAAGACUUGGUCUGAUAUCAUGUCGGAGACCUCCAUGCUGACUCCAGGUAAGCCCUUGGUAUGUACAAUGGCAGUGUGACCCCAGAUUAGGAAGCCAAGCGUGCUACUGGAAGCAGCAGGGCAUCAUCAGCCCCAUUGCCGGUACUUCGGUAGCUUCUUUGUGCAGGGUGAGCUCUGCAGCCCUUGGUCUGUGCUGUGCUGCUCAUCAGAGAUAGAGCUGAGGAAUCUGCAGUUGCAGAAAGUGCUCUGGGGUUGCACUUUCAACCUUUUUGUCUCCCUUCCUUGGCUGACACUGCAUCCUGCUGGCUGCCUUUUGCACUCUCUCAGUCACCUGCAGCUGAUGAAGUUUCUGAACAGCUGAGUUUCCAAAGCUGGGACGGUACAGGGAAGGACUCGUUCCUGGCUUUGUCCUGUUUCCUAUGCUCUUGCCCAAAUAGCUUUGUUUCUUUAUUGUAGCAAUCGUCAUCACUGAUUUUAUGAUCUCUUCAUAGCAAGGUGGGGGCACCCUGUAUAUGCUCUAAGUACUGUUUCAUCUCCCUGUUUAGACUUCCUGAAGCAGAGAUUGGAUCCAUACCAUUAUUUUAACAGCCUUUACUAGAUCUGUUCUCCAUUAAUUUAUCUAAUCCCCUUUGAACCUGAUUUUACUUUUGGCUCCCACAAUCCUGGGUGCAGUAAUUCUGUAUUUAAUUAUGUGUUGUGUGAAAAAGUGCUUCCUAUUUUGUUUGUUUUGUUUGAGCCAUUUGACUGAUAAUCUCAUUACACUUCCUCUAAUUCCUGCACUGUGAGACACAACCGAUCUGUUCCCCAGUCACCUGCGCUGUGCAGUGAUGUAUUUUGUAGACCCGCCUUCACUGGGGAUUUGCAGCAUGUGCCCAGAUCUCCAAUGGACUAGGUUUUCCUUCUAGAAAUACGAGAUGAGGAAGCCUUGUGAGACUGAGCAUGAGCUAAUAGUUGUGUUGGAUUGUUGAGUGGGAAAAAGAAAUGAACGCCAAAUAUGUGCAAAGGCACCACGUCUACUCCCUUGUUUUGAGCUCCCAGAGAGGUUGCUCGCACUUGAAGGGAAGAGAUGGAUUAAACUCAGGAUUAAAACACAUCCAUCUGAGUUUGUGGUUACUUCCAGACAUACUGGCUGCUUGUAAAUAAGUGUAAAUGUUGCCAUGGACUUGGCUAGGACCAUAGUUUCAUCACUUUCUUUGGUGUUAUCAUAUUUCACUUUAUCAGCACACAAUUUUUAGUAACUUUAUCAAAGUAUUGGGUAGUUUUCAGUCCCCUGGUGCUCUCUUUCAGGAUUUCCCACUAAAAAAAUCACAAACUGUAAUCAGGGCAUGGAAUAAGUUGCAUAUCUUAAAGCUUUCCACCCUUUUCAUAACCAUCACCUAUUCCCUAUGUGACAGAUCAGGAAAAGCAGUGAAAUUAAAAAAUAAUAAUAAUCCAUCAGCUUCUCUCUCCAUCAAACACAGAAAGAAAGGCCAUAUCAGUUCAGCAAAUUAGCUGUCUCUCAUUCCCCAUAAAUAGUUUUAAAGUACCAGCAGAUUUCCUUCUGCCUUCUGCCUGUUAAGAACGCAGUAGAGUCCAGGAAGCCCACUGAGAGCUGAGUCUCUCUGCUUCCACUCCAGCUUUUUCCUCCCUGAAAAUUUGCCUUUAACUUUGCUCCAGUGUUUAAAAGAUCUAACAUUCCAUACAGAUUGAGUAUUCAAAUAUACUUUUAGAUUCCCCCUGUAUCUCUUUUAGUGCUCUGCAGAGCCUUGCAUCCACCUCAUUUCAACAAAAGCACGUGAUUAAGUGCCUGUGUGCUUUUCUGUACUGAUCUGAACUUAUUUAGUUUUGCAGUUUGGUUUUUGAAAGCUAUGAAACGCCCUGUGAGGCCUAACUUAUCAACACUUGAAAAUAUCUACGGGGCAGUAGUCCCUGGUCCCAAGUGGAUGGGACCAGGCUCUUUUCAGUGGUGCCUGGUGCCAGAACAAGGGGCAAUGGGCACAAACUGGAACACAGGAAGUUCCACAUGUACAUGAGAAAGAACAACUUUACUGUGAGGGUGAAGAGCAUUGGAGCAGGCUGCCCAGAGAGGUUAUGAAGUCUUCUCUGGAGAUAUUCAAAACCCACCUGGAUGCUUUCAUCUGCAAGCUGCUGUAGGGAUUGCGCUUUAGCACAGAGAGUUGAACUUGAUGAUCUCCAGAGAUCCCCUCCAACCCCAACAGUUCUGUGGUUCUGUGAUUAAUGACUUUAAUACUAGUUAGUUAUUUUACAAGUCAGUGACCAUAAGUCUAAUUGUGCAUGUACGUGUUACUAUUGCUGGAAUUUAAAAACUAAUGAUACAAUGAAUUCUUUUUGUCCCUUAGUCUGUUUAUUUACUGAGAGUAUAAUAGACUUCUGGCCGGAGUUAGUCGUCUCCAUUAAGAACUAUAUAUUUUACAGACACAUAGAUUGCUCUGAAAGUAAUGCCUCCUGUUUAUUUCCAUGGAAACUACAACAGAUAGAAAGAGCACAAUGACACUAUUCAGUAGAGCACAUUCUCAGCUACAAAACGCUAUUUUUCAACACAGUCACCACCAGUAGCUAUGCCUUUUUGCCAGUGUUGAACGAGAGCCUGCAUGCCUUGCUUUUAAUAAUAUGCAUCAGUGGAGGUGACCCACUGCUUCACAGCUGCUAUGAUUACGUCACUCCUAGGAAAAUGUUGCCCAUGCAGUCCAAUUUUCACUGUGUUGACAUCCACUGUUUGGUGUCCAUAAACGUUCAGCAAGAGUUGACGAAUGUCAGUGGGUGCCAUUUUCUCUGCAUGGAGGAAUUCAGUGACACACCUCUGCUUCAUCUGCACUUCCACAUCAGAUGCCACUGUGUCAGAGUGCCCCUCUGCUUCCAUCUGCCACACAGCAACAACAUGCUACAGAAUAUUGGUGGGAAGGCUCAGCCUCUACUACCCUACCACCAACAUCCACCUCUGACGCCAUGGGCUAACAUAAUAAAGCAGGAGGCUUUACUUACAGAAGAGUUCUUGUAUUUCCACAUAAUAUACUAUAUAAAACUAGUCCUUAAAAGCAGCAAUGCUUGUGUAGUAAUUGCUGAACAGUAAUUACUUAAGAGUGAUUACUUAGAAGUAAUUACUGUUGUCUUGUUCAGCAUAUCACUUAGGCCUCAUCAGAAAUAAUGACAAACUACAAAAUGGUAAAUCCAUAUCCAAAGACUUCACAAACACGAGGUUCACAAACAUUUGAGGUGAUGCUGGUUUGGUUUUUAAAUAAUUAUCAAAAUCUCAAAUCAAAUAAUUUUACUGAUUUUACAAACCCGAACAUCUUUUUCCUUAUAAUACAUAGUUCAAAGUACUCCCUACCCUUUGAAUCCAAGCAUCAAUCACCAGUAACCAAGUUCGAAUCAGAGUAAAAACAUACUGCUCUCCAGACACUACCUUAAAUUUACUGGAACAAGUACUGGCCAAGUUAAACAAGCAAUAAAAGUGGGGUUGUGGGGUACUGACUGAUUGGUGGGUUCCUCUUUUGUUCUUCAGUGCUCAGGGCAGCAUUUAAGCAGUUUUGUUUCUUUUUUCUCCCUCUGGCUCUGUUACCUACUGAUGUAGCUGGUGUUGCAUGAGAAAUUGCCUCUUUUCAGUGGGUGGAACCAGAUUUUCUAUCAGCUGCAGUUAGGUCUCCUAAUAUAUUUAAUGAGCCUAGAUAGGUAGGAAAUGGAGUAUUAGGAGCUGCUGAUUUAAAAAAAAAA